GUUUAUUGGUCGUGCAUUGCUGUUUAUAUUGUGUAGAACUCUUAUCCAUGAUACCCCAAGCUUAUAUAAUACGUUGAUAAAAAGAGCUAAUUUUUUUUCUUUCAUUGCCAUGGAAAUCCACAGAAAAUGGGGUCAGGGCUGCUGAUGUCGCUGUUUCUGUGCAGACAACUGCUUGCAAGACAGAGGCUGUACAGACACUUUAUAAUCAUAAUAUGUUUUAUAAUGAACACAAAGCACAAUGGGAAAAAUAACCCACACAAAGUGAUGAGAAGAAUAACCUAUUUGGGAUUUUUUUUGAAGAAUAGAGUAUCAAUGACAUGAAUCCCAGAAGGCACAGGAAGAAAUUGGUGGCAGACACACUGUCCCUUCAGAGACCACUGGCUCUUUUUCCAGAUGUGUAAGAGAAACUGGAGGCAUCUGCUGGAAUCUUCUGGAUAGUGGCUCUGCAUCUGACCUAUGUCAUGUCAUGUCUGCCACUAAAGAUUGUCAAAGCUGUGUUUUCCUCUGCCUGGAACUGCAGUGUCAUGGAUGCAGAGAGACAGAAGCAUUGUAAAUUGUUUUCUGAAAGACCCUUUUCAGCUCCAUCAGUGAUAAUUUUCUGGGUAUGGUUCUCAAAGCCUGUCCUGUGUCUAGAAGACAUUCCAUUAAUACAUGUUUUUGCGAUCAGCCACAUUUGCUU
Long non-coding RNA from Zonotrichia leucophrys gambelii, 679 nucleotides. RefSeq lists it as uncharacterized. Lineage: Eukaryota; Metazoa; Chordata; Aves; Passeriformes; Passerellidae. The record is from RefSeq and is a predicted model, not a curated record. The transcript is spliced from 4 exons.